ACACACACGCACACACACGCACACACACACACACACACACACACACACGUACACACAUCAUUUUAUUUUCCACAUGGAACCCAGAGAAAUUUAUGGGAUGUCCUUCCAACGUUUUCCCUCCCUAACUUAACAUCAUCCGUUUGCAAAGCCUGCUUAUAAUUCUGUUUGCUGCACUUCGAUCACCAUGAAGAAUAUUGCACAAAUCUGUGCAGGAGUCUUGCCAUGGCUGCUCUUCCUGUUCACUACAAAAGGGUUUUGUCACCAGAGGGUUCAUUGUCAGUGGGGGCCUUAUGGUAGCUGGUCAGAGUGUGAUGCCUGCACCAAACUACAGCUAUAGAAGAUCCAUGGUUCGUGUACCAGCCUGGGCUGGGAUAGGCUCCAGCUCCCCAGCAACCUUAAUGAGGAUUAAGUGGUGUAUAGCUAAUGGACGGAUGGAUGUUGUGGUGUGUG
Amphiprion ocellaris (clown anemonefish) is the source of this 450-nucleotide long non-coding RNA. Lineage: Eukaryota; Metazoa; Chordata; Actinopteri; Pomacentridae. The record is from Ensembl.